Camellia sinensis is the source of this 1599-nucleotide non-coding RNA. Lineage: Eukaryota; Viridiplantae; Streptophyta; Magnoliopsida; Ericales; Theaceae. The record is from RefSeq and is a predicted model, not a curated record.
UUUUAGACACAAAAAUAAUUUGUCUGCAAAAUUAUACUUUUAAGGAUAAAAUGAAAGAAUUUUAACAAAUAAAUAUUUAAUCAUGUUAUUAUAUUUUUUAGACAAAUUUAUUUGGUUGUAAAAGAAUCAGUCACUCUCACCUACAAUUUUAAUUGGUCCCUAAUAAACCAAAAUCAUACAUUAUUUUAUUUUAUAUAUUGAUUUUUUAUCUCAAAUAGAUGGGACUAUCUAAAAAAAAAGCAUCAAGUUCUAUAUUUCAUCACUCGCUCUCUUUCUGUCUCUGUCUCUCAAAUCCCUAAUUUCUUUUUCUCUCGCAAAUGCAAUGGUUCUUCUCUACGAAUCUCGUUGAUUGCUCCUAAUCUCAGCAACAAUUUCAUCCCCGAGGAGUCUCAUAGCAUCUCUCUCCACUGUGAUUUCAGCAUCUAGGUUCGAUCGAUUAAUCGAUUUCAGUCUCAUAGAUUUGGUUUUUAAUCUAUUGUUCGUAUUUAUUCUUUGAAAAUGCUUAUUUAUCGGUGUAAUGUUUGUGUUGAUGAUGUAUUAUCAUAAUAUGAUUCAUUUUUAAUUCGUAUUUGCGAUUGUUUGAUUCGUUUAGAGUAUUAUCAUAAUGCUCUGUGAUUUUGCGAGGCGGAACAAGCGAGGUGAGAGAGAGCUUGAGAAGUUUGAUUUGGACAUACGUACUCUGUGAUAUUAGUCAUCGAGUUUCAUGGCCAAGCAAAUCUGGUAUUGUAAAUUUUUUUCUAGCUAGAAUUGAUUCGGUAAUAUUUAUAUUAGAUUCAAGUUGCUGCAUGAGGAAUGCAUUGAAUUUAAUAAGCUUGGACUUCGGGAUAAUGUUGCUCAGAUAUGCGUGUUGGAGUCAUUGAAUAAGAACAAUAAUAAAGAUAUGCCAUUGAGAUUCAAGGAACUUCAUCAGAAAGGAUAUUGUGGAUAUAUUCAAUCAUUCUCAUGAAAGGCUCCUUUGAAAGAAGUUUGUUUCACUUUCAUAGCAUUGAUUCUAAAGAAAAGAGGUUGUGGGUAAGGUUGUUUUUGAGACCUAUAAUGCUUUUGUGAGAGGGAGGCAUAUCCUUGAUGCGAUUUUUGUGGUCAAUGAGGUGAUGGAUUUUAUAUUGAAAUGUUAUAUUUAUAUAGUGCUUAAAUUAUUGCUUUUGCACUGAUCAUCUCAUUGUGUUUGAGUGAACAAAUGGGUUUGGUAGCAUUUGAAUUGAUCGGAUUAAGCUUAUACAUUCAAUACUCAAUCAUUCAGUAUUUUUGUGGGGACUCAGAGCUUUUAAAUGACAUGUUUUUUUUUAUCAUAUGUUGUAUGUUUCCAUUUUCUUUUUCUGGGUUUAUUUUCUACUGAGUUUGAAAUUCAUACGUAAACAGGUAUGUUUACAAGAGGCAAAGGACAAGCAAGGAAUGGGAACACAAAUGCACUGUGAAAGCUACCUACUUAGAUAUUACUCCAUGAUAUUGAUUUGUAAAGAUUCUGUUUCUUGGAAUUCUCUGAUAGCUGGUUAUUCUAAGAAUGGGAUUCUAAGAAUGGAAUUUUUUGUGAGGCCACUGUAAUGUUUUCACAGAUGCGUGAUUUCUUGAUACAGCCUAAUAAAUAUACUUUUGCUAGCA